CGCUCCCUGCUGUACUCGAGAGUUGAUCGGGUAUUUUCUUGAGCCUAAUCACUACCCUGGGAGCAUAAAAUGCCCACUUGUGUGCAUGUCCACCUCGUAGUGGAAAGCCUUAUAGUGACAUUGUUGUUCCCACUUGAACCUUUUGGUUCAAGAACAAAGAUCAAUAACGAUACAAGUGGGGAGCGC
This 186-nucleotide non-coding RNA is filed under the name Gammaproteobacteria bacterium. Its description in RNAcentral is "6S RNA". It matches the Rfam family "6S / SsrS RNA". Rfam says of the family: E. coli 6S RNA was the first non coding RNA to be sequenced, but its function was unknown until recently. It consists of 184 nucleotides that fold into an extended hairpin structure with a large single-stranded internal bulge. Lineage: Bacteria; Pseudomonadati; Pseudomonadota; Gammaproteobacteria. The record is from RNAcentral.